RNAcentral lists this ribosomal RNA (437 nucleotides) under uncultured bacterium. RNAcentral describes it as "bacterial SSU rRNA". It matches the Rfam family "Bacterial small subunit ribosomal RNA", at positions 29 to 506 of the family's 1533-position model. The record is from RNAcentral.
ACGAACGCUGGCGGCAUGCCUAACACAUGCAAGUCGAACGCUCGUAGCAAUACGGGAGUGGCGGACGGGUGAGUAACGCGUGGGAACCUACCCUGUGGUGGGGGAUAACCGAGGGAAACUUCGGCUAAUACCGCAUACGCCUUGGCAACGAGGGAAAGAUUUAUUGCCAUGGGAGGGGCCCGCGUCGGAUUAGCUAGUUGGUGAGGUAACGGCUCACCAAGGCGAUGAUCCGUAGCUGGUCUGAGAGGAUGGCCAGCCACACUGGGACUGCGACACGGCCCAGACUCCUACGGGAGGCAGCAGUGGGGAAUAUUGGACAAUGGGGGCAACCCUGAUCCAGCAAUGCCGCGUGAGUGAUGAAGGCCUUAGGGUUGUAAAGCUCUUUUGCCAGGGACGAUGAUGACGGUACCUGGAGAAUAAGCCCCGGCUAACUUCGU